GAUGAACGCUAGCUACAGGCUUAACACAUGCAAGUCGAGGGGCAGCAUGGUCUUAGCUUGCUAAGGCCGAUGGCGACCGGCGCACGGGUGAGUAACACGUAUCCAACCUGCCGUCUACUCUUGGACAGCCUUCUGAAAGGAAGAUUAAUACAAGAUGGCAUCAUGAGUCCGCAUGUUCACAUGAUUAAAGGUAUUCCGGUAGACGAUGGGGAUGCGUUCCAUUAGAUAGUAGGCGGGGUAACGGCCCACCUAGUCUUCGAUGGAUAGGGUUCUGAGAGGAAGGUCCCCCACAUUGGAACUGAGACACGGUCCAAACUCCUACGGGAGGCAGCAGUGAGGAAUAUUGGUCAAUGGGCGAGAGCCUGAACCAGCCAAGUAGCGUGAAGGAUGACUGCCCUAUGGGUUGUAAACUUCUUUUAUAAAGGAAUAAAGUCGGGUAUGGAUACCCGUUUGCAUGUACUUUAUGAAUAAGGAUCGGCUAACUCCGUGCCAGCAGCCGCGGUAAUACGGAGGAUCCGAGCGUUAUCCGGAUUUAUUGGGUUUAAAGGGAGCGUAGAUGGAUGUUUAAGUCAGUUGUGAAAGUUUGCGGCUCAACCGUAAAAUUGCAGUUGAUACUGGAUAUCUUGAGUGCAGUUGAGGCAGGCGGAAUUCGUGGUGUAGCGGUGAAAUGCUUAGAUAUCACGAAGAACUCCGAUUGCGAAGGCAGCCUGCUAAGCUGCAACUGACAUUGAGGCUCGAAAGUGUGGGUAUCAAACAGGAUUAGAUACCCUGGUAGUCCACACGGUAAACGAUGAAUACUCGCUGUUUGCGAUAUACAGCAAGCGGCCAAGCGAAAGCGUUAAGUAUUCCACCUGGGGAGUACGCCGGCAACGGUGAAACUCAAAGGAAUUGACGGGGGCCCGCACAAGCGGAGGAACAUGUGGUUUAAUUCGAUGAUACGCGAGGAACCUUACCCGGGCUUAAAUUGCAGAUGAAUUACGGUGAAAGCCGUAAGCCGCAAGGCAUCUGUGAAGGUGCUGCAUGGUUGUCGUCAGCUCGUGCCGUGAGGUGUCGGCUUAAGUGCCAUAACGAGCGCAACCCUUGUUGUCAGUUACUAACAGGUUCCGCUGAGGACUCUGACAAGACUGCCAUCGUAAGAUGUGAGGAAGGUGGGGAUGACGUCAAAUCAGCACGGCCCUUACGUCCGGGGCUACACACGUGUUACAAUGGGGGGUACAGAGGGCCGCUACCACGCGAGUGGAUGCCAAUCCCCAAAACCUCUCUCAGUUCGGACUGGGGUCUGCAACCCGACUCCACGAAGCUGGAUUCGCUAGUAAUCGCGCAUCAGCCACGGCGCGGUGAAUACGUUCCCGGGCCUUGUACACACCGCCCGUCAAGCCAUGGGAGCCGGGGGUACCUGAAGUGCGUAACCGCGAGGAGCGCCCUAGGGUAAAACUGGAAAC
Molecule: ribosomal RNA, 1442 nt
Filed under: uncultured organism
Description: SSU rRNA
Rfam family: Bacterial small subunit ribosomal RNA
Source: RNAcentral